CCUGACUGCUAUCGGAUUGGUACUAAGCCAUGUGAGUCAUUGUAGCAAUACAAGGCAUACGGCUCAGUAACACGUAGUCAAUCUGCCCUAUGGACGUGGAUAACCUCGGGAAACUGAGAAUAAUCCGCGAUAGAUCAUAAUGCCUGGAACGGUUUAUGGUCCAAAUGAUUCGUCGCCAUAGGAUGGGACUGCGGCCUAUCAGCUUGUUGGUGAGGUAAUGGCCCACCAAGGCUAUUACAGGUACGGGCUCUGAGAGGAGAAGCCCGGAGAUGGGUACUGAGACACGGACCCAGGCCCUAUGGGGCGCAGCAGGCGAGAAACCUUUGCAAUGUGCGCAAGCACGACAAGGUUAAUCCGAGUGUUUCCUGCUAAAGGUAUCUUUUGUUAGUUCUAAAACCACUGAUGAAUAAGGGGUGGGCAAGUUCUGGUGUCAGCCGCCGCGGUAAAACCAGCACCUCAAGUGGUCAGGAGGAUUAUUGGGCCUAAAGCAUCCGUAGCCGGUUCUGUAAGUUUCCGGUUAAAUCCACCAGCUCAACUAAUGGGCUGCCGGAAAUACUGCAGAACUAGGGAGUGGGAGAGGUAGACGGUACUCGGGAGGAAGGGGUAAAAUCCUUUGAUCUCUUGAUGACCACCUGUAGCGAAGGCGGUCUACCAGAACACGUUCGACGGUGAGGGAUGAAAGCUGGGGGAGCAAACCGGAUUAGAUACCCGGGUAGUCCCAGCUGUAAACGAUGCAGACUCGGUGAUGCACUGGCUUUUGGCCAGUGCAGUGCCGCAGGGAAGCCGUUAAGUUUGCCGCCUGGGAAGUACGUACGCAAGUAUGAAACUUAAAGGAAUUGGCGGGGGAGCACCACAAGGGGUGAAGCCUGCGGUUCAAUUGGAGUCAACGCC
Molecule: ribosomal RNA, 891 nt
Filed under: uncultured archaeon
Lineage: Archaea
Description: bacterial SSU rRNA
Rfam family: Archaeal small subunit ribosomal RNA
Source: RNAcentral